Molecule: long non-coding RNA, 1967 nt
Organism: Leopardus geoffroyi (Geoffroy's cat)
Lineage: Eukaryota; Metazoa; Chordata; Mammalia; Carnivora; Felidae
Exons: 6
Source: RefSeq, a predicted model, not a curated record
AGCUGAAGUUGAACCCUGAACCGACUGAGCCACCUAGGCACCCCUAAUGUGGGUUAUUUCUAAUGUCACUUCAGAAAGAGCACAUUAUUCGACGUAGAAGGUGAUGUCCCAAAUUCAGGCUCACAUAAUGCAAGGGAGAAAAGACCCAGUGUAUGUUCAGAUUUAUUAGUUUCUUACUCAUUUAUUCAAUAUUCAAUCAGCAGCUACUAUGUGCAUGCCAGGGGGAGGCAGGGCUGCGGCAGGGGCACAGGUGUGCCCCAAGUGCACAGCCAAGGGCUUCAGGUGUGCUCAGACCCCUCACUGGAAAACAUGGCAUUGGAGAGCUAAAAAAGCGAAACAUGAACUAGCAUGGAAUGUAAGCCUCCAGGUAGACAGUAGGGCAGUGAUGUCACAGUCCCUCCUGAUUCUACCAAGUGGUCAACACAGAAGCUAUGGCCAACUUCAAAACCAGCUCACGCUCCCAAGUAUGAGCCACUUGCACAACUGGCUCUAUGUGGUCACGGCACGGCCAGCAAAGACUGCCGUGGUGAAUUUACCCUUCCUGGCAUGUGAGGAGAGGGCUCACGUUGUGAGGUGACAUGUGCAUGCAUUCCUGUCAUCUGUGCCACUUACUAGCCAUUUAAGCUCAUUAUCUCUCUGAAGUUCGGUGCCCUCAACUCGAAAACGAGGGUCCCAGCAUCGAGGACUGAAAGUGAAAUCUGCACCAGGUGUUCAACAGAGUCCCCAUCACAUGGAGAGGGCUCGGUAAGUGUGAGCUGCCGACAGAACCACAGCCACGAAGUGGGAACCUGAUCGGCCCCACCCGGACCUCGGAAACGGCGCAGGUCUGUGAGGCAAAAUCACUGCUCUGCAGAGAUCGUAUGUGUGCAAAGAGUUUCCUUCUUCAGACGCACUGUGUUUGGUGCCGUUAAGAUACAACACGAUGCCCCAGCGUGCCGAGCCUCAGGAGGUCUGCUCCGUCCUGGUGACUCCACCACCGCACCAAUCACACGGCUACGCAAACGGCCUUGGAAAGAGAUCAGAUCUUCCCAUUCUGACACGUACACACAACCUGUAAAUCUUGUAUUCUGAGUCGGCCCGAACAUAAGGGUUGCAGUAGGUAGAAAUCUGAUACUCUGCUGCUCCGAGGUAAAGAAUACCCAUACGUACCCAACACGAGGACACGCAACCCCAGGACUGGAUCUACAUUAGACGUGCGGAGGACGAAGCUGGCAUCCAGAACCUGAAGCAACCGCUUCCCUUUGUCGUCUUGCUUCUGUUGUUCAGGGGUCUCCCCCAGAAUCUAAAACUUCAUGCACCCAGACGCUUCAAAGAAGAACCACACCUUUGGGCCACAGCACAGCUUCCAGAGCCUCUGAGCCUGCCAGAGGAUUUUCCUUGCACGGGACCCGCCUGCUCGCCAUGAUUUCAGCGUUGCCACAAGAUCCAAAGUAGAAACAGAGCAAAGCCAACUACCACUGGCUAGAAAGGGGUGUUACCACAUCUGGGGCCUCGCUUCGCUUGCCCCUGCGCGAGCCGCGGUGUGACGGCAGCACUUAUUAGGGAGGAGUCUCUCCAGGCUUCCCUAUCGACCAGCCCUGAAGCCCCACUGAUUACGGACGAGCACCGGCGCAUGGGAGCCCAGACCGAGGGCCGGGAAGCCAGCGCUGCAGCACAGACAGGGCCCUGUCCUGCUGUCGGCUGGGAGAGGGCAGAAAGGGGACACGUCACAGUCACUCUUUAUUCACAGUCACGUAUUAUCAGUAAGAGUCACCCAGAGGCAAAUGCAGGGACACUGGAGCCCUUCUCCUUCUCUCCUGUUUUGUUGUUGUUGUUGUUUGUUUUUUUUAAACCUGGCACGAGAGGGUUGGCUAGCGGCUGACAAAUGAAUUUGGCUUUGUUGAGUCACACGCAGGACAGUGGACAGCACCGGGCACACCAUGCCACCGGCAAACAUAAAACCACGUGUCGUUUGGCUUAAGGGUCUC